Small nuclear RNA from Hyla sarda, 188 nucleotides. RefSeq annotates it as U2 spliceosomal RNA. NCBI's taxonomy places the organism in Eukaryota, Metazoa, Chordata, Amphibia, Anura, Hylidae. The transcript has a single exon. The record is from RefSeq and is a predicted model, not a curated record.
AUGGCUUUUGGCCUUUUGGCUAAGAUCAAGUGUAGUAUCUGUUCUUAUCAGUGGUCUAGUCUCUGCCAUUGAUGUAGGAUGGAUGCUGCAUGGAGGGGGCAGGUGCCCGGGGCAUUACGGGGCUGGUUCUGAGGAAUCAGCUCGACGGCUGCUCUGAUGUGACCUGUUCGCUCCAGGUCUCACCAUGA